Molecule: signal recognition particle RNA, 274 nt
Filed under: Chlorocebus sabaeus (green monkey)
Lineage: Eukaryota; Metazoa; Chordata; Mammalia; Primates; Cercopithecidae
Description: Metazoan signal recognition particle RNA
Rfam family: Metazoan signal recognition particle RNA
About the family: The signal recognition particle (SRP) is a universally conserved ribonucleoprotein. It is involved in the co-translational targeting of proteins to membranes.
Source: Rfam by way of RNAcentral
GCUGGGCACGGUGGCGUGUGCCUGUAAUCCUAGCUACUUGGGAGGCUGAGGCAGGAGAAUUGCUUGAGCCUGGAGGCGGAGGUUGCAGUGAGCUGAGAUCAUGCCACUGCACUCCACCCGGGGAAGAGAGCAAGACCCAUCUCAAAAAAAAAAANNNNNNNNNNUUUUUUUUUUUGAGAUGGGUCUUGCUCUCUUCCCCGGGUGGAGUGCAGUGGCAUGAUCUCAGCUCACUGCAACCUCUGCCUCCCAGGUUCAAGCGAUUCUCCUGCUUCAG